RNAcentral lists this ribosomal RNA (497 nucleotides) under uncultured bacterium. Its description in RNAcentral is "partial 16S ribosomal RNA". It matches the Rfam family "Bacterial small subunit ribosomal RNA", at positions 28 to 507 of the family's 1533-position model. The record is from RNAcentral.
GAUGAACGCUGGCGGCGUGCCUAGUACAUGCAAGUCGAGCGAACGGACGAGAAGCUUGCUUCUCUGAUGUUAGCGGCGGACGGGUGAGUAACACGUGGAUAACCUACCUAUAAGACUGGGAUAACUUCGGGAAACCGGAGCUAAUACCGGAUAAUAUUUUGAACCGCAUGGUUCAAAAGUGAAAGACGGUCUUGCUGUCACUUAUAGAUGGAUCCGCGCUGCAUUAGCUAGUUGGUAAGGUAACGGCUUACCAAGGCAACGAUGCAUAGCCGACCUGAGAGGGUGAUCGGCCACACUGGAACUGAGACACGGUCCAGACUCCUACGGGAGGCAGCAGUAGGGAAUCUUCCGCAAUGGGCGAAAGCCUGACGGAGCAACGCCGCGUGAGUGAUGAAGGUCUUCGGAUCGUAAAACCCUGUUAUUAGGGAAGAACAUAUGUGUAAGUAACUGUGCACAUCUUGACGGUACCUAAUCAGAAAGCCACGGCUAACUACGUG